Molecule: unclassified non-coding RNA, 3463 nt
Filed under: Daphnia pulicaria
Lineage: Eukaryota; Metazoa; Arthropoda; Branchiopoda; Diplostraca; Daphniidae
Description: uncharacterized LOC124326133, transcript variant X2
Source: RNAcentral
CUCCAAGAUCAUUGUUUGUAAAGCGACACUUUGCUGAUAUUUAUCGAUUGCUAAUUAUUAGCAAUAAAAACCACCGUACCUCGAAUUACAAGAUUAUUGCCAUAGCAACAGUAUGAUUGCUACGCCUUUCGGUUUCAACAAACGAUAAGCCCAAAAAUCUAAAUAGGCUAAAUGUGAUGUGAGACUGAUAAUAGUUUAGACAGACUGCGCGUGAGAUGACGACGUUUGGUGACGCCGAAGAUUUCGCUACUUGUGGCGUUUGUUUGUACGAAUACGACGAAGAAAUUCGGAAACCCAAAUUCCUUCCGUGUUUCCACACCGUUUGCCUCGAGUGCAUCAGGAAAUUAUUAAGUCAAAGUCAAGGCAAGAAAUCCAUUACAUGCCCGUUCUGCCGAAACAUUAGCACCGAUCCUAGGAAGGACAUCAAGGAAAAAUGGAUUCUUCCCAACAAUAACCACGCACUCCACAUAAUCAAACAAAAGAGACAAAUUGAAGAACUCACUUCGAUUGUUGUUAAUCCUCUGAUGCAUAACAAAAAUGUGGAUGCCUUUUUCAACUCACUAGAAGAAAUGUUGAAACUGAAAGACUCUAGGACGACCAAAAUGGCCAUGGCUAUUCAAGAGCGCAAAAAGGUUGAAAAGCAACUGGACUUGAUUAUGAAAUCCAUCGAAACUGCUAGAGAACAAGUCCAGAAACUCCAGGACGAGAAUAAUCUUUGCCUAGCGGAAAUGAUUUCAGUAAUGGAAAACGACGUGAAGAAAACUGACCAAACAAAUCACCAAGACGGUCCGAAAAGGUCUUUGGUAUUUUCAGAGUUAAAAUCUUUAUUCGACGAUUCAACUGCGGCGGAUUCGACCGAGACGCUGAAACUGAAAAUGGAAAAAUCCGUCGAACUGUGUGAACAGAAACUCGAUGAAGCGACGGCCAUUGCUUCAGAGUAUGAACUCCGGAGUAAAACAAAAAUUGCCGUUUACCUGUACGAUGAAUACGACCACCCGAUCCAGACGCUACCCGUAUUCUUUGAAGGAUUCCGCUUCCAACCUUUCAAUCCGUCUCUAUUAAAUGGAUUCCAGCAGGAUUUGAUGCUACUCUCGCACGCCGUAUUCUCCUUGUUGAAGAAGCAAAAUAUCUCUAUUAAAAAUGAACAGCCAAUUGCAGGUGCUUCCAAGUUAACGUCUUUGCCUCCAACAAUAUCCAACAAGAGCAAAUUUGUCUUGGGAGAUCUGUCGUCCAAGUUUAUUCUAAGACUAUUUAAAUCGGGUAGGUCGACAGGUGAAAUCCACAUCCGUCCAGCACCUACAUUUCAUCCUGCGUUUGUGCAAAAGUUGGGUGAUUUUUGUUACAAGACUCAGAAGAAAUUUUCUACUGGUAUUGACAAGGCUCUUUCAGAGGUGUUUGUCUUAUUUUCGAUGACACACCCACUAUUUCAACCGGAAGUUCCUAGUAUGAUUGGUCAUUGCUCCAACGAAGAUGGCAGUUACGACCCUUUAUUUAACUAUACAGCUGAAGAUAUCCAUGAUGUAGGUUUUACCUUAGUUCAGACAUCGGCUGGCAAAGUUAUCGGUUGGAGCUUCAUUUUUGUAUUGGAAGAGUAUGAGCAUUUCAUCAAACGUGAUAAUUUGCAUGAAAAUGUAUUGGAUAAUGUUUUAUUUGGUCGAGUUGUUCAUAAUAAUAUGUUGGAAGCUAUGACGCAACUUAGCAAAAGUAAAAAAUCAGAACGAAUAGAAUACAGCAUGACUCUGGAAUCGCAAUAAUCCCAAUGAAGUUUAACGGAAAUACGGAAUGUAUUAUACUUUGAUUAAAUAAAAUGAUAAUGUAUUAUUAAUGCUCAAAACAUUUCUUAACUAAACUGAUAAAUUAAAUUUUUUAAAGGUGAUCGAAUUUUCUAAUUCAAAUUAUCCAGAGGCGCCACUGUCGCUAAUCCAUUCCAUUCCGAUCCAUUCUGAUUUGUGAACCCAUCCCCAUUCCAUUGCCGCCAUUGCCAUUUUUCAGUUCCUCCACAACAGACAUUCGUAGUCUGUGGUUCCUCCAAAACUUCCAUCUUUGAAAAAAAAUCACGAGUGUGGUGUGGUUUUAAAGUUUCAAUAACAUUUUAUAUCUUUAUAAUAUUUUGUUGCAUUUUUGAGUUCACUUAUUGGAUAUCAAGUGGCUACAAUUUUCGUAUGAAAAUUUAAGUUGUAUGGUCAAGGGAAUCAACAAUAAUUGAAGUUAUGUCGAUAUCAUCAUCAAUGUCUCUCGAUGAUGACGAGGAUAUUGCCGAAUUCGUGAAGUGUAGAAUUUGUAUACGAGAGUAUAAUGACAUAGAUAGAAAACCCAAGUUCCUGCCAUGUUCUCACACCCUUUGCCUUGAAUGCAUCAACAAAAUUUCAAAUGGGGAUUUUAUAAUCAUGUGUCCAUUCUGUCGGAAAGCUUGUGAAAUCCUGGAACUGCCAAAUAAUGUGUAUGCACUCCAAAUGCUCAAGCAAGAAAAGGAAAAGAAAAUUGGAAAAUUGUCAACAGAUUUGCUGGCUAUUACUGAACGUUCAUUGAAAAAUAUGUUCAUGGUUCAUAAAAGAAUUGAUGAUCAACUGGCUAAGACUAUGUCUUCAAUCAAUCUUGCUGGAGAGGAAAAUCGAAAACUUGUAGAAGAAAACAACUCAAACCUAACUAAAAUGAUUUCUCUCAUGGAAUUACUUAAAAAACAAUCCAUGAUCUCUCCCAACAGUGUGCCAACCGAGCUGUUCUUUUCAGGAAAUCUGCAUUCCAUGUUUAUACUCCGAUUGUACCAGUCAGGUAGAUUAAAAGGUGAAAUUCACAUCUGCCCUGUACCAACAUUUUAUCCAGACUUUGUGCAGAAACUUGGGGAAUUUUGUUACAGAUCCCCCAAGGAGUUUUGCAGUUCUGUUGACAAGGCCGUGGCUGGAGUCUUCGUUCUUUUUCCAAUGCUACACCCAGAGUUCCGACCCGUGGUUCCAAGUAUGACUGAGCAUAUGGAUUCCUGGACAGCAGCAGCUAAGGAUGUUGAUGAGGUCGGGAUCACCAUGGUUAAAGCGUCGGGUAAUAAAAUUACCGACUGGAGUUUGGUCUUUAUACUGGAAGAUGACGAAGAUUUUCAAAUGCACGAGAAUUUGCCACAAACAGUGACGAACAAUGAGGUCUUUGGUCGUGUUAUUCACCACCACAUGCUGGAACCUUUAGUCAGACUCAGUCUGACUAGCAAGUCUGACAGAGAGAACUACGUCAUGACUCUGGAAUCUCAAUAACAACCUAGAUUCACAAGAAAUACUACCUUUGCCUAUGAAGCCAAUAAUCGGUACGUGAUGUAAAGAUGUUCUUUAUCAAAAUAAUGAAAGUAGCUGACUUAGAAAUCAUCAAUCAAGAAGUGGACAUUUAAUGGUAUCGUUUAAAAGUAUCAACUUUUAUCAAUGAAACAAUCUGUAUUAAGAAAUUGAUUUUUUGUCAUACACUUAAUUGCUUUUGUCAA